GUCAGCGUAUGCCUUCGGGUACACGAGCGGCGAACGGGUGAGUAACACGUGGGUGAUCUGCCCUGCACUUCGGGAUAAGCCUGGGAAACUGGGUCUAAUACCGGAUAUGACCUUCGGCUGCAUGGCCGUUGGUGGAAAGGUUUACUGGUGCAGGAUGGGCCCGCGGCCUAUCAGCUUGUUGGUGGGGUAAUGGCCUACCAAGGCGACGACGGGUAGCCCGACCUGAGAGGGUGACCGGCCACACUGGGACUGAGACACGGCCCAGACUCCUACGGGAGGCAGCAGUGGGGAAUAUUGCACAAUGGGCGAAAGCCUGAUGCAGCGACGCCGCGUGAGGGAUGACGGCCUUCGGGUUGUAAACCUCUUUCAGCAGGGACGAAGCGUAAGUGACGGUACCUGCAGAAGAAGCACCGGCCAACUACGUGCCAGCAGCCGCGGUAAUACGUAGGGUGCAAGCGUUGUCCGGAAUUACUGGGCGUAAAGAGCUCGUANGCGGUUUGUCGCGUCGUCUGUGAAAACUCGAGGCUCAACCUCGAGCUUGC
RNAcentral lists this ribosomal RNA (542 nucleotides) under Rhodococcus opacus. RNAcentral describes it as "bacterial SSU rRNA". It matches the Rfam family "Bacterial small subunit ribosomal RNA", at positions 61 to 624 of the family's 1533-position model. Lineage: Bacteria; Bacillati; Actinomycetota; Actinomycetes; Mycobacteriales; Nocardiaceae. The record is from RNAcentral.